CAGACAACAGGAACAACAACACAGAGGGUCUACAAAUACUACCAACAGCAUAGGAGUAUCAUUCUUUGAUUAAAACCAAUACACCAAGAGGAAUAUCAUAAAACAUCUCGGAACUACAUUUAAACAAAAACAAAACAUCUGAUAGCCAUUUGAGCAUGGAAAUAAUUAUAACAUUUGAUUCGGAGGACUAAAGCAGGAGCAACUAUCUCUGUUCACAUACUGGAACCAACCAAGGAGUAUCUGAAAAGCAGUCAUUACAUAAGACAUGACGACGACACAGGUUGACGUGGAAGUACCCACGAUGCGAACCGUCUUUAAAUGAAAUAUAAGACACCACAUUGGCGGAAGGUACUGGCGUCAAGUGGAAGAUAUAUUAAAAAAAAAAACCAUAACAAGGUACAGAGAUACAAGACAUUAAAAACAAGAAUGCAACACUGUAGAAGGGUACAAAAAUAUAAUACUACAAAUGUUUGAUAUAAUAAAUUUACACUUUUACA
Drosophila eugracilis is the source of this 497-nucleotide long non-coding RNA. RefSeq lists it as uncharacterized. Lineage: Eukaryota; Metazoa; Arthropoda; Insecta; Diptera; Drosophilidae. The transcript is spliced from 3 exons. The record is from RefSeq and is a predicted model, not a curated record.